GAUUAGGGGUGAGCAUUCGGUCGGUUCGGUUCAAAACCGAACCGAACCGAAUAAACCGAAAACCGAAAUUUUAGUUUUUAUGAAAACCGAACCGAACCGAUUUUGGUCAGAAACCGAAUCGAACCGAACCGGUCUGAUUCGGUUCGGUUCGGUUCGGUUCGGUUUGAUCGGUUUCGAUUUUUAAUAUUUUUUUAAUUUUUUACUCUUUAUUUUUAGUAUUUUAAAAUUUAAUUAAAAUAUUUUAAUUUUAAUAUAAUUUAAUUUCUCAAUAUUAUUGAAAAAAUAUAUUAUUAUCCCUAAUCGGUUCGGUUCGGUUUUUUCGGUUUUUUUCUGAUCAAAACCGAACCGAACCGAAAUAACCGGAAUUUCUGAAAUUUAAAACCGAACCGAACCGAAAUGUAUAAAAAACCGAAUCAAAUUUUCAAAUCGGUUCGGUUCGGUCGGUUUUUUCGGUUUGAACCGGAUUCUGCUCAGCCCUAGUGAUGAUCUGAGAUCCAGAGAAAUAGGGUUUUUACAAUGGGCUCUGUAAAACUUAGAAAAAGCUUAAACAUAGAGAGGAGUAUUUCUCCUUUUAUAUGUUUCCUUUUGUCUGCUAGUGACGUGCCAACAGAACGAGUAUCAU
Molecule: long non-coding RNA, 622 nt
Filed under: Manihot esculenta (cassava)
Lineage: Eukaryota; Viridiplantae; Streptophyta; Magnoliopsida; Malpighiales; Euphorbiaceae
Description: long non-coding RNA (MESC_LNC007703)
Source: RNAcentral